RNAcentral lists this long non-coding RNA (337 nucleotides) under Mytilus galloprovincialis (Mediterranean mussel). The record is from RNAcentral. Lineage: Eukaryota; Metazoa; Mollusca; Bivalvia; Mytilida; Mytilidae.
UUUCCUAUUUUCAGAAAUCAAAACAUUACUUAAAUUGCAAUUUGUUCUCACCAUAUUCUGAUCAGAAAAAAUUCUUUCCUUUUAGGUUGUUCGAACUCAUUGACAUGAAUCAUUGUGCAAUGUCAUAUUGCUUCUCCUUCAUUCAUCAGCCUGUCAAAGCUGUAGGUAACACCAUCUGAAAACAAAAAUAUUCUAUUCAAUUCUAUGUACAAUCAAACAGACCGCUGAACGCGGACCUCGACGAAGACACCUUAUAAUUCAAUACACAUCACUCCGGUAAACACCAUUAAUAUCAAGUGACAUGUCACACUAAAUUAUUCCACUUUCUUGAUAAUUC